CCAUCGGUGGUUCAGUGGUAGAAUGCUCGCCUGCUACUCGGGCGGCCCGGGUUCGAUUCCCGGCCGAUGCA
RNAcentral lists this transfer RNA (71 nucleotides) under Cordylochernes scorpioides. Its description in RNAcentral is "tRNA-Ser". It matches the Rfam family "tRNA". Rfam says of the family: Transfer RNA (tRNA) molecules are approximately 80 nucleotides in length. Their secondary structure includes four short double-helical elements and three loops (D, anti-codon, and T loops). Lineage: Eukaryota; Metazoa; Arthropoda; Arachnida; Pseudoscorpiones; Chernetidae. The record is from RNAcentral.